UACGGGAGGCAGCAGUGGGGAAUAUUGCACAAUGGGCGAAAGCCUGAUGCAGCUAUGCCGCGUGUAUGAAGAAGGCCUUAGGGUUGUAAAGUACUUUCAUCGGGGAGGAAAAACAAAACUAAUAAUUUUAUUUCUUGACGUUACCCGAAAAAGAAGCACCGGCUAACUCCGUGCCAGCAGCCGCGGUAAUACGGAGGGUGCUAGCGUUAAUCAGAAUUACUGGGCGUAAAGAGCACGUAGGUGGUUUUUUUAAGUCAGAUGUGAAAUCCCUGGGCUUAACCUAGGAACUGCAUUUUGAAACUGAAAUACUAGAGUAUCGUAGAGGGAGGUAGAAUUCUAGGUGUAGCGGUGAAAUGCGUAGAUAUCUGGAGGAAUACCUGUGGCGAAAGCGGCCUCCUAAACGAAUACUGACACUGAGGUGCGAAAGCGUGGGGAGCAAACAGGGAUAGAUACC
RNAcentral lists this ribosomal RNA (454 nucleotides) under uncultured bacterium. Its description in RNAcentral is "bacterial SSU rRNA". It matches the Rfam family "Bacterial small subunit ribosomal RNA", at positions 340 to 786 of the family's 1533-position model. The record is from RNAcentral.